UACGGAGGGUGCAAGCGUUAUCCGGAUUCACUGGGUUUAAAGGGUGCGUAGGUGGGCUAGUAAGUCCGUGGUGAAAUCUCCGAGCUUAACUCGGAAACUGCCGUGGAUACUAUUGGUCUUGAAUGUUGUGGAGGUAAGCGGAAUAUGUCAUGUAGCGGUGAAAUGCUUAGAUAUGACAUAGAACACCGAUAGCGAAGGCAGCUUGCUACACAAUAAUUGACACUGAGGCACGAAAGCGUGGGGAUCAAACAGG
RNAcentral lists this ribosomal RNA (253 nucleotides) under uncultured bacterium. RNAcentral's name for it is "partial 16S ribosomal RNA". It matches the Rfam family "Bacterial small subunit ribosomal RNA", at positions 524 to 776 of the family's 1533-position model. The record is from RNAcentral.